RNAcentral lists this ribosomal RNA (803 nucleotides) under Lacinutrix sp. MH149. RNAcentral's name for it is "bacterial SSU rRNA". It matches the Rfam family "Bacterial small subunit ribosomal RNA", at positions 46 to 850 of the family's 1533-position model. Lineage: Bacteria; Pseudomonadati; Bacteroidota; Flavobacteriia; Flavobacteriales; Flavobacteriaceae. The record is from RNAcentral.
GCUUAACACAUGCAAGUCGAGGGGUAACAUUGUGCUUGCACAGAUGACGACCGGCGCACGGGUGCGUAACGCGUAUAGAAUCUACCUUAUACUAGGGAAUAGCCUUUGGAAACGAAGAUUAAUGCCCUAUAGUAUGAUUACUUGGCAUCAGGUAAUCAUUAAAGGUUACGGUAUAAGAUGACUAUGCGUUCUAUUAGCUAGAUGGUGUGGUAACGGCACACCAUGGCAACGAUAGAUAGGGGCCCUGAGAGGGGGAUCCCCCACACUGGUACUGAGACACGGACCAGACUCCUACGGGAGGCAGCAGUGAGGAAUAUUGGACAAUGGAGGCAACUCUGAUCCAGCCAUGCCGCGUGCAGGAUGACUGCCCUAUGGGUUGUAAACUGCUUUUAUACAGGAAGAAACCUUUUCACGUGUGAGAAGCUGACGGUACUGUAAGAAUAAGGAUCGGCUAACUCCGUGCCAGCAGCCGCGGUAAUACGGAGGAUCCAAGCGUUAUCCGGAAUCAUUGGGUUUAAAGGGUCCGUAGGUGGAUAAUUAAGUCAGGGGUGAAAGUCUGCGGCUCAACCGUAGAAUUGCCUUUGAUACUGGUUAUCUUGAAUUAUUGUGAAGUGGUUAGAAUAUGUAGUGUAGCGGUGAAAUGCAUAGAUAUUACAUAGAAUACCAAUUGCGAAGGCAGAUCACUAACACUAUAUUGGACACUGAUGGACGAAAGCGUGGGGAGCGAACAGGAUUAGAUACCCUGGUAGUCCACGCCGUAAACGAUGGUCACUAGCUGUUCGAACUUCGGUUUGAGUGGCUAA